Long non-coding RNA from Acyrthosiphon pisum (pea aphid), 480 nucleotides. RefSeq lists it as uncharacterized. The record is from RefSeq and is a predicted model, not a curated record. NCBI's taxonomy places the organism in Eukaryota, Metazoa, Arthropoda, Insecta, Hemiptera, Aphididae. The transcript is spliced from 2 exons.
CAAAACUGGAUCUACUGCACUCACAUUCGCGUGUUGCUCGUUGUUCAAAGAGAGAAGACAAAUGCUACACUGACAUAUUUUUAACAAUGUUUUAAUUUUUAGGUAAUACAAUUUUACUGAGCAAGAAUCCAAUUUUAAUAAAGCAGCGGGCCUCAUCGUGUUUAAAUUGCAAAGAAACACAUGACUAGUUAUUGGACAUUGGUAUCUUUUCUGAAGGGAAAGUGCAUCUAGUUGGAUGCGUUAAACAGGUUGUCAAACCCAUUCCCAUCUGCAACGAGGAAAGACAAACUUCUUAUGCAAUUGCCAAAAAGCUUCAGUGGCUGUUAUUAAAAUUCUUCAACUAUCGACAAUGGACAUAAUUGAGGAAGACUUUUAAACUAGGCAUAUUCUGAUAGGUACCCAUUUCCUUUAACCUGUGUACUUAUUUUACCUAUGUUUCCCCCCACCACCCAUCAGAAAGUAAUUAGUUACUUUAUUUAA